GCCGCGCGGGUUUGAUCGGGAUUCUCAUCAAUUAAUUUACUGAAACGAGACCAGUUUUGCUUUUCGAUGGCGUGCCGCCACUCUCCGGAGCGCAGCGGAUUACAAAGAGAGCAAACCCUCAAAUCCUAUCUAGUCGGAGUUUCAUCACAUCAUCCGCGCGGCUCUUUU
Molecule: small RNA, 168 nt
Filed under: bovine gut metagenome
Description: Bacteroidales-1 6S-Bacteroidales RNA suggested
Rfam family: Bacteroidales-1 6S-Bacteroidales RNA suggested
Source: RNAcentral